This 1189-nucleotide unclassified non-coding RNA is filed under the name Rhagoletis pomonella (apple maggot). RNAcentral describes it as "uncharacterized LOC118749708, transcript variant X1". The record is from RNAcentral. Lineage: Eukaryota; Metazoa; Arthropoda; Insecta; Diptera; Tephritidae.
GUGCGGCACCAUAUUUGCCUAAUGCAGCGUUCAUGCUGACAUUUAAAAGCACAUUUAUCAAUUUCGAAUAUUGGUUUUUCGAAGAGUGUUCACGGUGCCGCAUUUAGUUAAUGUUCUGUCUGUUCUUGUACAAAAACGUGCAAGUAGUCAUUUGGGAGUACAUCCACUUGGAACUUCCUACUAACGAAAGAACCUGUGCGAGGCAAGAGAAUCGAGCUAGCACGUUUUGGGAAGUCGAGUUUCAAUGCUGCGGAAAUGAUUUCUUCAAGCAAAACUUUAGAUUGAAAAGACGGGCUUUCCAGAAAUUGUGUAGCUUUCUGGAUCACAUUAAAAAGAAAAAAACCAACUUCCAGAAUUCUAUAUGCUUGGGAAACGGGACCAUUGAAGAGUGUGUUGAUGGUUUUAAAAGCAUUGGAUUCCCUCAAUGUUUGGGAGCGCUUGAUGGAUGCCACAUAGAAAUUCGACCUAGAACGGAAGAAGCAGUAGAUUAUAUCAACUAUAAAGGAUGGUAUUCGACAGUUUUACUAGCUCUUGUUGACGCAAGAUAUCGUUUUCUGUAUAUAAACGUUGGCAGUCCCGGACGAUGCAAUGAUUCCAAAAUCUUUGAAAAGUCCAGCUUAAAGAGAGAGCUAGAUAAAUGUUCGCUUCUGAACUCAAUGAGCACAAAAUUAGGAAACUUUGAUAUACCAGUUGUCAUUCUUGGAGACUCCGCUUUUCGUUUUUUUAAAUAUCUAAUGAAACCUUUUCCAUUCAGUUUGGAUAAAACACCAGCGCAAAAAACUUUCAAUUAUCAACUUUCGAAAUCACGUAGUCGUUGAAAAUGCUUUUGGACAACUGAAAGUUUCGUCGAAUUGGAAAAGGCUUUGAUAACAGAAUUGACAAUGCGAAUUCCAUUAUAAAAACUUGUGCCUUGCACAACUUUCUGAUAGCGGAAAAUGACCAAGUUUCACUUUCUUGGCUAACUGAGCAGAACGCUAACGACAGCAGUAGAAGGCAACCACAAUCCGCGGAUUUGCACCAAAGCCUAACAGAAGCUGAAUCAAUAAGGAAUGCUUUCACUUCAUACUUCAAUUUGUCGGAUGCUGAGGACGAACUAGACGGCAAUGGUGAUAACGGCGAUAGCUGAAACUGAAUUUUUACAAUUUAUGCACAUAGAUUAAGAUAAAAUGUAAUAAAUAGUUUUGCAUCA